CGUCGAUCCUAUUUUGUUGGUUUCUAGGACCGCCGUAAUGAUUAAUAGGGAUAGUUGGGGGCAUUAGUAUUCAAUUGUCAGAGGUGAAAUUCUUGGAUUUCUUGAAGACUAACUACUGCGAAAGCAUUUGCCAAGGAUGUUUUCAUUAAUCAAGAACGAAAGUUAGGGGAUCGAAGACGAUUAGAUACCGUCGUAGUCUUAACCAUAAACUAUGCCGACUAGGGAUCGGGCGCAGUUUCAAACGACUCGCUCGGCACCUUAAGAGAAAUCAAAGUUUUUGGGUUCUGGGGGGAGUAUGGUCGCAAGGCUGAAACUUAAAGGAAUUGACGGAAGGGCACCACCAGGAGUGGAGCCUGCGGCUUAAUUUGACUCAACACGGGGAAACUCACCAGGUCCAGACACAGUAAGGAUAGACAGAUUGAGAGCUCUUUCUUGAUUCUGUGAUUGGUGGUGCAUGGCCGUUCUUAGUUGGUGGAGUGAUUUGUCUGCCUAAUCGCGAUAACGAACGAGACCCUUACCUGCUAAAUAGUCAACUCGGCUUUGGCCGAGACCUUUUGGUUAUGACUUCUUAGAGGGACCGGAGGCUCCAAGCCUCAGGAAGCCAAGGGCAAUAACAGGUCUGUGAUGCCCUUAGAUGUUCUGGGCCGCACGCGCGCUACACUGAUAAAGUCAGCGAGUUUUAUUCUUUGAAUAGUCCUUGGCCGGAAGGCCUGGGCAAUCUUGUUAAACUUUAUCGUGC
This 739-nucleotide ribosomal RNA is filed under the name uncultured fungus. Its description in RNAcentral is "SSU rRNA". It matches the Rfam family "Eukaryotic small subunit ribosomal RNA", at positions 828 to 1570 of the family's 1831-position model. Lineage: Eukaryota; Fungi. The record is from RNAcentral.